RNAcentral lists this ribosomal RNA (464 nucleotides) under uncultured bacterium. RNAcentral's name for it is "partial 16S ribosomal RNA". It matches the Rfam family "Bacterial small subunit ribosomal RNA", at positions 28 to 507 of the family's 1533-position model. The record is from RNAcentral.
GACGAACGCUGGCGGCGUGCUUAACACAUGCAAGUCGAACGGUAAGGCCCCAGCUUUCUGGGGUACACGAGUGGCGAACGGGUGAGUAACACGUGGGUUACCUGCCCCGCACUUCGGGAUAAGCCUGGGAAACUGGGUCUAAUACCGGAUAGGACCGCACCGUGAGGGUGUGGUGGAAAGUUUUUCGGUGUGGGAUGGGCCCGCGGCCUAUCUGCUUGUUUGUUGGGUAAUGGCCUACGAAGGCGGCGACGGGUAGCCGGCCUGAGAGGGUGGACGGCCAAAUUGGGACUGAGAGAAGGACCAGAAGGCUACGGGAGGCAGCAGUGGGGAAUAUUGCACAAUGGGGGGAAGCCUGAUGCAGAGACGGCGGGUGGGGGAUGAAGGCCUUCGGGUUGUAAAAAGCUUUCACCAUCGACGAAGGUUUAAUGACGGUAGAUGGAGAAGAAGCACCGGCUAACUACGUG